GAUAGGACAGCCGGGGUAAGGCUUAGCCACCAGCUCCCUGCCUGCAGCUGCAGAACACCUAGGCUGGACCCUAGGGCAGAGCCAAGGUUUUGAGUGACAGCCGAAGUAAUGUAAAUAAACCGCUGUCCCCCUAAAUUGCCUUUUGUUGAGGAUAUUUUUCACAGCAACAAAAGCCAAAGUAAAAGGUGGAACAAGUUAAAGCCAGGCAAGGGGUGGCCCUCUAGGGGAGCCAUAGAGGUGGCGGGAACUCCGGAAAUCUUGACCUUGCAUCUGAAGCGCUGCAAAGGGGAUAGUGCCAACUACGACCAGGGAGGGAGAUGGGGGGUUGGGCCACACUGCCCUGCCCAAACAGUUUUCUCCAGAACCUCCUUCCGGCGGUCUAAACCGCACUGAUGAGGAAGGAAAGGAGCGCACGGGUGCCGGGCCCCGGGAACCCAUUCGAUUUAGAAGAAACACUGAGGGUGGACUUGGCGGACCCGUGCUCACACCACCCGUGGGACUCCUUCCCACGCCCGCUCCGGAGCCCAGAAGUUUGCUGUGGAGUUUGUUUGUCGCGCCCGCGCACCUACUGUGGGCAAGAAGAGCCAGCGCAGGCCCGCCCGCUCGCCGGCCCAGAGUGCUGCCCCGCGCGCCGUUCAUGCAGUUCCUUCGCCACCGCCGAGAGCUCGCGGCGACGGCGAGUCGCUACGGCGGCGCGAAAACCCGGCGGCAGCCACCGAGUCUCUGUAGCCGGGCCGGGAAAGCCGGGAGCGCCGCGCGACCCGCUCAGAAGCGUCCUUGAGUAACCAAGAAAACGAGGACGACGGUGUAAGCUUUGUAGGAAGAGCAGAUGUAGUAGUGCACGCCUGCACCAGGAUGGCCGAGUGGUUAAGGCGUUGGACUUAAGAUCCAAUGGACAUAUGUCUGCGUGGGUUCGAACCCCACUCCUGCCAUUUAAUUAUCUGGAGUCGCAGAAAAAUAUUUUUUCCGAAAAGCUCGGAACUCCGUGGGAAAUAGUAUCAGUCUAUUUAAACAGUGACACCUACUGGUAAACUGAGGUGUCAAACUUAAAAUCCAUCGGCACACGACAAAGAACGGCCCGAAAAAAGGAUCAUCUCUUAGCCUGAAAUAACAAGUGGCACUUAUCAGAUCUUCAAUCCAACUACCUGAAUAUCGACCUUGAAGAAAUUUUAUCAGACUGAAAAUACAGCCAGCGGUACCAGCAACAAGGCAUCGGGACAAAACAGACAACAGCCUGGGCAUGCGUUUAUCUGACAGUUUCCGAGGACACUACAAGGGACAAAACUGCAGGAUAUGGUCCCAGUAAUGCAAAGCCCUCUCGAGAUUUCCCAUUCUCUGCUCUCCUCAAAGACUAAAUAUGCAGGAGAGGCUAGAAGGGUAGAGAGUAAGAGUCAGAGUCAUGAAUCACAUGUGGUAAUAAAAGCUAAACAAAACAAAAUCACCCUCGUGCGCACACACGCGCGCACACGUACACACACACACACACACACACACACACACACACACACACACACACAAAACCCAAAACAAUCGGAGAGCUGGAGAUAAAGCUCAGUUGGCAAAGUACUAUACCCAGCAUGCACCAAGCCCUGGGUUUGAUCUCUAGACCAAAACAAACAAAAAAACAGUGUGUAGUAAUUCAUGCUUACCAUAUGAGCACUUGUGUGUGUGUGUGUGUGUGUAAAUAUGUGCAUAUAUCACAUAAUACAAUACUGAGAGGACUGAUUUAGCCAGAGCUCCCAGAUCCAGGAACUCCCGGUCAUCGAACCACUGCCUCAGGCAGCCAGUCUGAGGACUUCUGGCCUAAAGUAAGAAUACGUAGCUAGAAUGAGUAAGCCACUCCCUGGAAAGUCUCCAGAGCCUAACCAAUUAUAGAAUCAGUCAGAUGCCCUAGAGACAGAACUAACUUAUCAAGGUAAAAGGGCACUCACCUCUCCCUGGAAUUCCCCUAACUGACAAUAAAGGCUGGGCCUGCAAAUCCACCAGGUAACUCCAUUCCCAAAUGGGGAGACACCUGCAUGUGGGAGAUUCAGCUGAAUAAACAUUCUUUGCUUUUACAUACUGUUUGAGUUCAGGGUCUUCCUUCAGCGAUCCUUGGACCCUAACAAUACCAUUUAAUAUAUAUUUUAUGUCAUAUAUGUGAUAUAAUAUAUAUAUCAUAUAACAAGUAUAUAAGCAGAAGCAAACUUACUUCUGAUGACAUUAUCCAUUAUUUGUCUACUGCUUUUCAUCAUUGUCUUAGAUUAUGCUUUUCCCAAUUUCUCAGUUGCUUCAUUUUCUCUUAUUCUUGGUUUAAUCUUAUUUUGCUCCUUCUGGCUCUAGGAGCAGAAGACUGAUAUAUUUAAGUAUAUAAACACAUACGUGUAUACACUGUGUGUGUGUUAGUAUGUGUGUGUGUGUGCUAGUAUGUGUGUGUAUGUGUGCAUGUGAAAAACACUUAAACUGGCAGUCACACGGUAGGCUAUGGAAUCAGGUUUGUGGGCAUUCCGUCGUAUAGCAACUUCCUGCAAACUGAAGCAUUUCACUCUGGAGAGAAACUCCUCUAAGACUUCGGAAGUUUGAAACUGAGUGUGUCCCACGUUCCUUUAAUCCUAGCAGCCAGGAGGCAGAAGCAGGAGAAUCUCUGGGAAUCUGAGAUCAGCUUGCUCUACACAGUGAGUUCCAGACCCACCAGGGCUACAUAGAGAAACCCUGUCUCAAACAAACAAACAAACAAACAGACAAACACAACAAACAAACAAACAAACAGACAAAACAAACAACACAACAAACAAACAAACAAAACUACUUAGGAAGUUUUUAAAGGAGGCUUGUUAAGAGGAGAGGUAACAACUCACUAGUCUCAGGAAGAACCAGAAACUGACCAUAUGUACUCUGUUGCCUGCUUUUUUUUUUUCUAAACAGGAUUCACAGUGUAUGUGUCUGUGUGUUUAUAUGUCCGUGUUUGACAUGAUUCCUGUGAGAACAAACGUGUAGUCUACUCACUUCAGCUAGGGGAUAGACAACAGACCAAAGUAAUGAUACCCAACAUCCAGUUAGUGAACGAAUGAGUUUAUUAGGGUUACUCAUUGAAAUAUGAGUACGAGAUUACUUACAGUAACAUGAACUUAAAGGCACGUGCAUCACCAAAACGCCCAGCCCACUGUCAAUCAUUACACAGGAAAACUCAGCCUGCUUUUUUUUUUUUUUUUUUUUUUUUUUGAGAUAGGGAUUCACAACAAUGCAGCCCAGGCAGGUCUGGAUCUCACUAUACAAAGCAAGCUGAUCUUAAACUUGCAGAGAUCCUCCUGCCUCUGCCUCCUGGCUGGUAGACUAAAGGGAUGGGCCAGCACUCUCAUUAGAACUUCCAGAGUCUUAGGUCAUUUAUUUGAAGCUGAGUGUAGCAGGGGACACUUGCCACCUCAGGAUGGGGUGAUGCAGAUUGGAGGAGCAGAAGCUGAAGCUGAAGCUCAUCCUUGAGGACAUAGGGAGUUAGAUGGCAAAACGACGACACACAGACAAAAGUAAGUCAUUUAUUCAGGCUGGAAAGGUAACUCAGUUGCAUAGAAUUGCUAGGCAUGCUCGAGCUCUAGGUCUUAGUUAAGAGGCCAAGAAGCGAUCAAAUCCCAGUCUGAAAGAGAAAGCUGGUAAGUGGGAGUCUUACCAGAGUCCUGACAGCCAUCUAAGGGAAAAAAGGAACCACAAAUAGCCACCACUAGCUUGAAGGUUCGAGUUGGCCUUGAGGCCAUAGCAAUCAAAGCAAGGGCUUGGCUGCACUCUUACCAGGUGGGGAAGUCCGGAAAAUGAGACAGAAAAAGUAGCCUGAGAAACGGAGCUACUCUUAUGGUGGUAAGGGAUGGGGCGUUAAAAUCAAGAUGGAUGUUUAGAUCUUGGGAAACUUACAGUCUUUACCCCUCAUUCCCAUUUAUAAUCUCUAUAUUUAUUUCCACUUUGUUAGAACUUGGUGUUUGUACAUUUCUUUAAUCAUAAAGAAAUGGUUUCUUCUUUUUUUUUCAAGUUCCCAAUCUUUUUUUUGACAUUUUUUUUCUUUUAUUGUAUUUUUUAUUUGCAUUUCAAAUGUUAUCCUCUCUCCUGAUUUCUCCUCCAGAAACCUGAUAUCUCCCCCUGAUUCUAUGAGGAUGCUCCACCACUCACCACCCACUCCCUCCUACCUCCCCACCCUGACAUUCCCCUACACUGGUGCAUCGAGCCUUGAUAGGACCGAGGUCCUCUCCUCCCAUUGAUGCCAGACAAGGCCAUCCUCUGCUACAUAUGCAGCUGGAGUCAUAGGUACAUCCCUGUGUUCUCUUGGGAUGGUGGUUUAGUCCCUGUGAACUCUGGGGAGUCUGGUUGGUUGAUAUUGUUGUUGUUGUUCUUUUGGGGUUGCAAACCUCUUCAGCUACUUCAGUCCUUUCUCUAACUCCUCCACUGGAGACCCCGUUCUCAGUCCAAUGGUUGGCUAUGAGCAUCCACCUCUGUAUUUGUCAUGCUCUGGCAGAGCCUCCCAGGAGACAGCUAUAUCAGGCUCCUGUCAGCAUUCACUUCUUGGCAUCCACAAUAUUGUCUGGGUUUGUGUCUGUAUAUGGAAUGGAUCCCCAGGUGGGGCAGGCUGUGGAUGGCCUUUCCUUCAGUCUCUGCUCCACACUUUGUCUCCAUAUUUCCUCCCAUGAGUAUUUCUGUUCCCCUUUCUAAGAAGGACUGAAGUAUCCACACUUGGGUCUUUCUUCUUUUUGAGCCUCAUGUGGUCUGUGAAUUGUAUCUUGGGUAUUCUGAGCCUUUGUACUAAUAUCCACUUAUGACUUCUUCUUUUGAUUUGUUUGCAGGUCCCUGGGCGAUCACUUGCUAAAUAUAGUUAGUUUACCAUUUUAUCUACUAUCCACACACAAAGAUGAAUCACUGUAAUUAUUUAUUCUCUUGAGAAGGAACAGGAGGUGUGCAUGUCAAAGUAAUAUGCACCUUUAAUCCACCCGAACGAUAAACUGGAGAAUAGAUGCUGAGAACCCUUAACUAUGGCUCAGAUUUCCAGAGUCUCCCAAUUGUAGGAGAUAAUUUAGGUUUGUGGGAUGUAUUGAGAAGAUUUUAUUAGUUUGUUUGGGUUUUUUUUUUUGAGACACGUGUGUGUGUAUGUGUGUGUGUGUGUGUGUGUGUGUGUGUGAGAGAGAGAGAGAGAUCUGUAUUGAAUUUCAGCUGUCAAUUCUGAAGGCUGGUCAAUUCUUCAAUGUUCUCCAAAAUGAGCAGAAAGCUAGAGGGUUUGAAUUUAUACAAGUUUCUGAGAUCAGGCUAUAGACGCCUUUCUUACAUUGCCUUGAUUCCUUUUCUAGAGGCCUGUUUGUUUGUUUGCUUGUUUAGCAAUUUCCUUAAUUAGAAGUACAAACACUAAUGCUCUUCCCUUCUAUUCACUGAAAUAUAAGGGGAUGGGGGUUGUGCUAAACUUGUUUUCUAUUCUACUAUGAGGCAGAACACAAUAUUUUCUGAAUCUUCCCCUAUCAGGUAGAUGGAUUUGAAAAAUGGUCACAUAAGGAGCUUGGACUGACGUUAUGGACAGAGCAGGCAGAAACCCAAUGCUAUUUUUAUUCAGGGAAUGCGCCAGACCAAGGUGGAACACAGCCGUCUGCGGUGGUCAAGUCAUGCUUCCGAGUACCUUUAUUCCUCUGUGGUAGGAGUUUCUUGGUUCGUCAUUAUGGAGCACCUCACGAGCUCUUGCGGGAAGUCUUGGUUGGUCAGAAUAUCUUAGGAUAAUCUUCCCUGCUUAACCAUUCUUUCUUAUUUAUUUUGAUUUUGAUUUUGAUUUUUAUUAUUUUUUUUUUUUUGGAACAGCCCUGGAUGUCCUGAAACUCUCUUUGUAGACCAAGCUGACUUCAAACUCAGAGAUCUGGCUCCUUCUGUGCUGUAUGUCCAUGAAUCCAGCAAGACAUUCUGGUUUUUUUUUUUUAAAGAUGUAUUUAUGUGAGUUCACUGUGGCUGCCUUCAGGCACACCCAAAGAGGGCAUCAGAUCCCAUUACAGAUGGUUGUGAGCCACCAUGUGGUUGCUGGGAAUUGAACUCAGAACCUCUGGAAGAGCAGUCAGUGCUCUUAACCACUGAGCCAUCUCUCCAGCCCCCUCUGUUUUUUUUUUUAAUAUUUAUUUACUUAUGUUUAUGACCACACUGUCCUUCCAAUCACAGAUGGUUGUGAGCCACCAUGUGGUUGCUGGGAAUUGAACUUAUGACCUUUGGAAGAGCAGUGCUCUUAACCACUGAGCCAUCUCUCCAGCCCCCACUGUAACACAUUCUGGCAAACUAUUGAACCUAACAAAAGUAGCCCAAGUUCCCAAAUUUGUAGGCAGAUUGUCAGCUGUGCAGGUGGCCUGGUGAGUCCUCACUUGUAGCCGGCAUCUGAAGUGAGAGCCAUGUAACCGGGACUGCUCCUUACACUUAUGGAGUCUGACGUAACCUGCAGGUGGCUAGCGUCAGAGCUGAACUGCAUAUAUUGUAGCUGCCAAGGGCCAGAACCACUCUUCCAGCAUAAAGCGGUUGAGAACAGCACGAGAGUGACUGUACCAGAUAGUUUUACGUCACCUUGACACAAGCUAAAGUCAUCUGAUAGGAGAAAACCAUGCUUCCAUAUGAUCAGGCUAUAGACAGUACUGUAGGACAUUUUCUUAGUGACUGAUGGGAGAGGGUCCAGCCCAUUAUGGGUGCUUCCAACCCUGGGUUGGUAGUCCUGGGUUUGAUAAGAAAGCAGACUAGGCAAUCCCUGAAGAGCAAGUCAGUAAGCAGCACUCCUCCAUGGCCUCUGCAUCAGCUUCUACCUGCAGGUGCCUGUCCGGCUUGAAUUCCUGUCCUGACUUCCUAGCAUGAUAAACAGUGGUGUGGAAGUGUAAGCUGAAUCAACCCUUUCCUCCCCAAGUUGCUUUAAGAGUCACGGUGUUGCAUCACAGCAGUGAUAACCCUAACUAGUGCCAGAAUCAAUAGCUUCAUCCAGGUGAGGUCAGGGCUCACCUUGGUAUCACCGGAGCAAGGGAGUUAGGGUAGGAGCUGGGAGCAGGCAGCAACGAAGCCUGGGGCUUGGUGUGCAAAUCCUCAGAGAAUGACAUUGAGACAUUGUUGCUCAUGCUCAAAUAAACAUUCCCCACUAUGCCCCGAAACAAGACUUGGGUACAGAGCCAGGCGCUCCUGCUAACAUCACCAUCACCAAAUCACUGGAAGGAAGUCUCCUGGCAACUAACCAGAGUGUCAUGGAGUCAUCUGGCGCUACAAUUAUUAUUGGUACAUCUAGAUGGAUCUAAGGCCGGAGAUUUUGUACAAGGAGUAAAGAACUUAAAUUCUCCCCGUGGAUCGCUUCUUAAAUAAAAUAUGCUGAGCUCACCAUAAUCUCAAUACCGUCUGGUACUUUGGAUUUCUUGAUAAUGAAAUAUGAAUGAGAAAUGCUUUACAGCACCGGGCUGUCUGCACAAGGGUGAGCAGCUUGGCUGGCUUCCAAGCAGUCUCCCAAGCUGAUACUGUCUUUCCUAGCUUCUGGGUGGGUAAAUCCCAAUUCGCUACUGUUUCAGAAUUCAGCUAGGUGAACCUUAGCGGUCUGAAGGAUAUAAACCAGAAUGUGUGCUUAUUAAAAUGUAGCAUACUGGGACAGGAAAGAUGGCUCAGCGAUGGAUAGCACUCGUUGCUCCUGCAGAGGACCAGGGUUCAAUGCUCAGCAUUCACAAGGUGGCUCACAUCCAUCUGUGAUUCUGGUUCCUGGGGCUCCAGUGCUGCCUUCUAACCACUGUGGGCACCAACCAUGACCAUCAUACAUAUACAUACAUGCAGGCAAAACAGUUAUAAUACAAAAUAAAAAUUAAAAAAUAUAUACACAUAUGUACAUACUCAUACAUAUACACAUACAUAUAUGCAUAAUGCACACACAGUUCUGUUCACAGGUUAGCAGGCAGCGGCAGCUUGAUCCACUCCAAAAACGCGUUAUGGAUACCCAGCAGUCCAGUUUGGUAGAGUCAGGAUAGCAAACAUGAAUCAGUGGCACUUACGGUGGCAGUGAUGGCACUGCCUAGCAGAGACAGCCAGGCCUCUGGACAAUCAGCAGGAGGGACCAAGAGGAACAUCAGGAGAAGUUCUCCUCUGUACCCCUCUUGGGGAAGUGAAAGUGGGAGAUCCAUAAGUAUUACAUGGCUAGCUCUAUAACCAAGCCAAGCUCAGCCUCCGUCACUGUCAGUCAGACCCUACUUACACCCUCCAAACAUCACAUGUCCUCCAAGGGUCUGGCCUCAGUCUGCCUCAGCUGACGUCACUCGGCCAAUCAGCCUGAGUCCGAGGGAGUGGCCAGACACUGCAGCACACCACCAGAACUUUUUAGAUGUGUUUCUUUCUACGAAAUCCAUUGCAGCUCAACUAUGCAAUGUAAGGUGGACCAAUACAUGCAUUGUUAACGAAGACUCCUUCAUCACGUGUCCUUUCACGUGCUUGCUUUAGCAGACAACUUUUCACCUGUGUCUGCUUCAGAGAAACAUUUCUUCACAAGUCUGCCUUAAUCUUUCACUUGUGUUCACUUCAGCUCAAUGUUCCUUCAAGUGUUUGCCCCAGCAAAACACCAUCCAACCAACUUUCCAAAGAACCCAUAAGUUUCCACUUCACACACACUUACACCCACAUACGCCAUACACACACAAUCACGUACAUAUAUAGACACACUCACACACGCAUACAUCACACACAGACAUAUACACACAUAUUACAUGUAAGGCACACACAUGCGCAUGCACACAUACACAUGCAUAUACAUGCACAUGUGUGUACACACAAACAUAUAUAUGGGCACAUGCACACAAAACUUCCUGGUUCAUCGUGGUCAUUUGGAUCCAUUCUACCUCUGAUGAGUCACCUGAAACCCUUCUGGGAGUCAGAAAACAGAGUAUCACCACAGGCCAUCACAUUUCCAGACAGACUGGACUGUUAAGAAUGUCAACAUCUUGACUUCAAAUCUGUUUCCAGGACCUUCCUAACACGGAUUCCAGUCCAUCUCCAUGGAGCCCAACACAACACAGGUAAUCACUCUCACAACACAGUUUCUUUGCUAUUUGAAGAGACAUCUCUUUAGUCCCUACCCUGCCCCUUUAAAAUACCACCUCUCCAGGAACAAGUGCCCCCAGGACUGUUCUUCAAGCUGAAUCUCUUUAAGGCUUGCCUUCAGCACAGCCCUGCCCGCACUCACUACUCCAGACUUUUCCGUAUUGUUAGAACCCCUCAUAAACCAUGUGAAUUUGUGGAAGUUCAGCCUAAGCUUAGCCUGCCCAGAUAAAAACUUCAGCAGGAGCUCCAGGAAAGACAUUGGAGUUCACAGAGAUCUCAGGCGUCAGGGUUCACUGUCCUCCUCAUUCCUCAGCUUCAUGUUCUUUUUUUUUUUUUUUUUUUUUUUUUUCGGAGCUGGGGACCGAACCCAGGGCCUUGUGCUUCCUAGGUAAGCACUCUACCACUGAGCUAAAUCCCCAGCCCCCUCAGCUUCAUGUUCUUAUAAGGGUCUAUAUCCCAGGCAGGCUUUUCUCUUCUAAUAGCAAGCUGAGAGAAUUUUAGCCUUAUACCACACACUUCAGUUUAGCAGAAAACAGAGGAAAUCUGGUCACCAAAGGAGGAUGUGGUGGCUUGAAUAGGUUUGACCCCCUUAGACUCGUUGUUUGAAUGCUUGGGCCAUAGGGAGUGGCACUAUUAGGGGGUGUGGCCUUGCUGGAGUAGGUGUGGCUUUGUUGGAGGAAGUGUGUCACUGUGGAGGGGGGAUUUGAGGUCUCUUGCAUACUUAGAUUACACGCAGUGUGGAACAGAGUCCUUUCUGCUCCUUAUGGAACAAGAUGUAGAACUCUUAGCUCUUUCCCUAGCACCAUGCCUGCCUGGAUGCUGCCAUGCCUCCCACCAUGAUGAUAAUGGACUGAACCUCUGAAACUGUAAGCCAGCCUCAAUUAAAUGUUUGCCUUUAUAAGAGUUGCCUUGGUUGUAGUGCCUUCACAGUAGUAGAAACCCAAACUAAGACAAAAGGGGACACACUCACUGGCCAGGAGUCAAGAAUAAACUCUCAGAAAUACACAGACUUGGGUGGGGAGAGCUGGUGUCCAGGAGGAAAGUAGGUUAAAAAAUGUCACAUGGUGAUGUCCACACAUGGUCUUAGUACCUCAGGUGUAUUGUGACCAGGGACACAGCUGUCUCCAUCUUUGCUAUGAGCUUCAUUGGUAAACAUGGAAUGGAGAAAGGGAUGGGGGAAGGAAGAAAGGGAGGGAAGGACAAAGAGAGGUAGGAAGAAUUCUCCAGGUUUUAAAAUGGAUGUAUUUAUUUAUUACAUAUAAGUACAUUGUAGCUGUCUUCAGACGCACCAGAAGAGGGCAUCAGAUCCCAUUACGGAUGGUUGUGAGCCACCAUGUGGUUGCUGGGAUUUGAACUCAGGACCUCUGGAAGAGCAGUCAGUGCUCUUAACCGCUGAGCCAUCUGAAUCCUCCAUCCUUGGUAACAGCUCCAGAGGCUGUCACAGCCUAGGACUCCCUCUGCUAGCAGCUGAUGCUUGGUGGAUGUGCAGAGUGCCUUCCACUCAAAUAAAGCCUUAUUCCUCAAUUUCCAAACCAUAGCAUAUAGUAAGGAGAAGGAGAGGAGGAGGAGGAGGGGAAGGAGUCACUGGCCUAGUAUCAGGUACUCUGAGAGAAAGCAUGCCAUGGCAGGGAAGCUGGCAGCAAAACAGGAGCAAAGUGGUAGCUAUAAUUCAAAAUGCAGAGCAGAGGUGUCACAAGAAGAUGAACACAGUUCCCACUUUCAAACCUAAUAUAGAACUACAGCAAUCAGGACAGAGGGGAAUUGAUACGAGAAGACACAGAAAUCAAUGGGAAACACCGAGAGCCCAGAAAUAAACAGUGUAGUCAUGGCCAAUUGAUUUUUGAAAAAAAAGGGGCCAAGGUAACUCAAUGUGAAUUGCCUUUGAAACAAAUGGUGUCGGAGCAAUUAGAUGCCUACACAUAAAAAAAUAUGAAUUUACAUCCUUCCCUCCUCCCGUAUGCGAAGAUGAAGAUGAGGAAUACAGGAAGACAUAAUGCCUGGCCCAUUGAAGAGUAAAUUAGAAACCAGCAAAAUUACCCAUCACAGGCUAGGUGUGUAGUUCCAUGGGCAGAGCCCUAGCCUCAAAUGCAAGGGUUUAUUUGUUUGGUAAUACAUGCCUAUAAUCUCAGUAAUGGAGAGGUAGAGACGGGAGAAUCAGAAGUUCAAGGUCAUCCCCAGCUACAUAUUUGACUUAUUCCCCAAAACAGCAGCAGCAGCAGCAGCAGCAGCAGCAGCAGCAGCAGCAGCAGCAGCAGCAACGAUGACAAAUUAUCUUCACAACUUCGAAAGACAACCAUUUAGGAAUAAGGGGAAAAAAAACCCACAGGAUGGGGGGAAAUAUUUGAAAAGCGUACACCUAGCAAACAGCUAGAGCUUCUGUAGAAGAGAGCAAACAGUGAAAGGCAAUGCAGUUUUAGAAAUGGGGGAAAGGAUGUGAAGAUGGGAAAUCUUGUCACUUCUUAGGAAAACAAGAAUGAAAGCCAUAACGUGGCACUUCUUGAUAACUACUAGCAUGAUGAUGAUGAUGGUGAUGGUGGUGAUGAUGAUGAUAUUGUUGGCGACAAUGACGAUGAUGGUGACAAUGAUGGUGGUGAUGAUAGUGAUGAUGGUUAUGAUGAUGAUGAUGUUGACAAUGGUGAUGAUGAUCGUGAUGAUGAUGAUGAUGAUGAUGAUGACGAUGAGAUGGUGGUGGUGGUGGUGGUGAUGAUGAUGAUGGCGGCAAUGACGAUGAUGGUGACGAGGACGGUAGUAACGCUAAAGUCAGACAGUGGUGCCUGAGAGAAGGCUCAGAGGUUAAGAGCAACAGCUGCUUUUCCUGAGGACCAGGGUUUGAUUCCCAGCACUGCAUGGUCAAUUGUGAUGAUUUACAACUCCAGGGGAUCCCACAGCCUCUUCUGGCCUCUGUGGGCACUGCAUGCAUGUGGUACAUAAAGAUGCCUCCAGGCAAAAUAUCCAAACAAGUUUCUAAAAGUCAGCAGUAAACAUGGGCGGUGGUGUGGAAGAAACUGCCAUGUUCAGACGCUGCUGGUGGGAACACAAGUGGUGCAGCUGGUCGUAAGGAAUCUGGAAGUUUCUUUAGAAAUUAAACAGAGAUCUACCCCACAGGAAAGCAAUUUCACUUCAGGAUGUGUACAGAGAGGAAGGUAGGACCUUUGCUUACAAACACAGAUGCACACAAAUGCUUGUGGGUGUCAUUGUUCCUGAUCAUGAAGAAUUGGUCACGGUCUAGUCCUACGUUAAAUGUCAAAUGGAGAGGCAAAUGGGCUACAUUCACAUAAACAGACGAGGAUCCUACAGAAAAUUGGAGGGGGUGAGAAAUUACCAGUACAUAAGCCCCAUUCGUGAGAAAUGCUGGGAGAAAGAAGCCAGACUCGAAAGGCCAAAUACCGUACGAUUCCAUUUUAAACGAAAUGCCAGAAAGCAGCUAGGCUGUGUGCGCGGAAAGUGGAUCAGUUGUUGCCUGGAGCUGGUGGCUGGAAAAGGCGUGAAGGAUCAAUUGGUAUUGAUAGGAAUGUCCUGACGAUGAAUUGUGGAAAUGUUUUCACAGCUCUGUAUGUUUAGUAACAGCCACUGAACCGAAUGCCUUAAAUAGAUGGAUGGUCUGUAAACUUACCCACCCCCUUCUUAAAUACUACCCACCCCACAGCCACCCCGAGACAAACACUGCCUGGUUUACAGUUCUUGCUUCUCCCUGCUUGAAGGACACACCUAGAUGCUAACUUUAUUUAAAUGCUUAAAUGCUUAAAUGCUUUCUUUAUUUAAAGAAGAUGCAGCUAUGAUCCAACGAUGGGGUACAAUUAUCAACAAUUUUUAUACCUUUUUUCACAUUUUAAAAUGAGCAGUAACUGGAUGUGGUGGCGUGGACCUGUAUUUCCAGUGACUGAGGGGGAUGAGGCAGAAGAACUGUUCAUUGAAGACUUGGGCUGGCUACAGAAUGAGUUCAAAGCCGUCUUGACAACACUCAUUUGUGCGUGCGCACACACACACACACACACACACACACACACACACACACACACACGAGAGGACGCUAAGGUUUAAUGGUAGGGCAGUGUUGGCACGCACACCUUUAAUCCCAGAACUUAGGAGGCAGAGGCAUGGGGAUCUCUGAGUUGAGGCCAGCCUGGUCUACAGAGUGAGUUCCAGGACAGCCAGAGCUACGCAGAGAUAACCCGUCUCAGAAAACCAAAGGGAGAAAAAAGUUCGGUGUUAGUCUCGGCACUCGCUCAGCAUGUGCGAGGUCAAAAUUAAUAAAUGUACUCUUGAGUCUAAAGAAAACAAAACCCACAGUUUCUCCAGUUCCCACUGGGAGCUGGUGAUUCACUUAGUAGGUAGAAUGCUGGCCUAAGUAUACAUGAGGUCGUGGGUUUGAUUCCCGACUCCCCAGCUACGGUGCACAUAGCAAAUCCAGCGUUCCAGGUGUGGAAGCAGGAAGACUGUGUUUAAGGCAUCGUUGGCUACAUAGGAAGUUUGAGACCAACCUGGGCUACAUGAAACCCUGUCUCAAGGGGGUGGGGGGAGUAGUUGACGAUAUAACAGCAUCGGAUGGACUUAUUUCAUAAGAAAGUCCCAGAAGGGCUACAGCUGAAUUAAAAGGAAAAUAAUCUUUUAAAAUUGUCGUUGUUGUUGAUGAUGCUGGUGAUGGAAACUGGAUCUCUCCGUGUAGCUCUGGCUAUCCUAGAACUUGCUGUGUAAGCGAGGCUGCCCUUGAAACUCACAGGAUUCUCUCUGCUUCUGCCUGCUGACCACUAGGGUUAAAGGCAGGCACCACCAGGCCCAGUGGACAUUGUUUUUCAUUUUAAAAUUACUGUUAUGGUUUGUAUAUGCUUAGCCCAGGGAGUGGCACUGCUGGGAGGUGUGGCCUUGUUGGAAUAUGUGCAUCGCUAAGGGCAUGGGCUUAAGACCCUCACCCUAGGGCUUGGGGAUUUAGCUCAGUGGUAGAGCGCUUGCCUAGCAAGCUCAAGGCCCUGGGUUCGGUCCCCAGCUCCGAAAAAAAAAGAAGAGAAAAAAAAAUACCCUCACCCUAUCUGCCUGAAAACAAGUCUUCCACUAGCAGCCUUCAGAUGUAGAUGUAGAACUCAGUUCUGGCUGCAUCGUUCCUGCCUGGAUGCCGCCAUGCUCCCACCGUCAAAAGACUGAACCUCUGAACCUGUAAUCCAGCCCAAAUAAAUGUUGUGUUUUAUAAGAGUUACCUUAGUCAUGGUGUCUGUUCGAAUUUAGUAAAACCCUAAGACAAUUACAUUUACUUAUUUGUUUAGGAGGUAAGUGUGCCUUGGCACAAGUGUAUAGGUACGAGGACAACCUCCUGGCGAGGGUGGGGGUUAGAAUCUUUUUCACUCUGUGGGUCAUAGGUAUUGAACUCUGGUCAUCAGGCUUGGUGGCAAGCCCCUUUACGAGAUAAGCCAUCUGACUGGUCCUCCCAGCCAAUUUUUAAAGCAUUAUGCCAUGCCUGUGUACAGUUACAAACAUCUAUUAUGCGAGGCCCACAGUUGGGCCAUGGAUACCACAACUGCCUUUUAACCCUUUCAUAACUCACUCCCAUGGAGAAUGGCGCCCACGGGUCAAUUAAGGCACUUGGCUGGCAGCACUGGGCUUUUUCCUAGCUAGGCAAAAAUGGCAAAGGUAGGGGUGUGUGUGUGUGUGUGUGUGUGUGUUGAAUAUGCGAGAAUAUCAGAGACUUACAACUACCAACCAUUACAAGACCUUUCUCUCAGUCAACUAAACAGCUUCAAAUUUCCGGGAAUCAAGCAUUUAGCUUGAGGUAGUUGCUUUUCAAAGAUAGUCCCGAGAGCUCGUAGACCGACUAAAGCAUCAUCUGUACCUUCUGGAAAUUUCUCUUGUGGGGCACUUGGCAUCUGUACAUAAGAUGAGUAGACGGAACUGAAAUGUAGUUACUGUGUUACAACGAACUCCCUGACAGCCAAGGGGAACCCAAGAUGUCUUCUCAACCCAUUCACUGGAAAGUCUGACUCAGAAAAUGUGGGGUGUGUGCGCCUGCGCGCAUGUGCUUACUGAAGCCACACCCUCAAGCCUUCUAAGGGAACCGGUAGGAAUGCUCCUUCAUUCCGAAAACAAUCGGUUCAUUAUAAAACAAACACAAAGGCAGGUAAGACAAAGUUGUCUUUAAGAGCAGCGGCAGGAGGUCCUUAUUCCAAAAUGUUUGGAUGUUGCUGAGUUUCUCCCGGGCUCGACUCAUGAACAUCUGAUGCCUGAGAGUCCUGAUUCAUUAAAAAUGUUCAGGCUUCCUCCCACUGCCCCCUUUCAUCUACUGUCUGUAUCCUAAGGAUUUUUCCACAAGCACGCUUGAAAUUUUCCCGAGUGGACAGAUUAUUCCUCUCAGAGUUCAUGUAUGUUUGUCCAGCGCCAUCUUUUUUUUUUUUUUUUCUUUUCCUCUAAUUUUGAGCCCCUGCUGUGGGACUUUUGAGUUUCUCUCUUGGGUGGCCAAUAAGUUUUGGCUUCUGGCUGGAAUAUCCUAGAAUAACCGCCGUUUAAAAGUCUCCUCGUGCUGAAGUUUUCAGGGCCUCCCAUGACUGAGGCCAUUCUGUAGCUACAGAGACCAAGAAGAGAAGAGGGAUGUAUGAGCUGAAUGCUGUUCAACAAUUCUCAUCACUUCAAACACUGUUAACCCUGGACUGGGAUGCUGGCCCAGCAGGUAAGACCUAAGUUCAGCUCCUAGCAUAUGUGUAUGUGUGUGUGUGUGUGUGUGUGUGUGUGUGUGUGUGUGUGUGUGUGUGAGUGAGUGUGUGUGUGUGUGUGUGCAUGCGUGCAUGUGUGUGUGUGUGUGUGUGUAUAUACACACACGCGCUCCUGAGCAUGCGCGCUCCCUGCAGCUCGCUGCAGGUGCGCUUGAAUAAGUACGCAUGUGUGCUUGAAUAAGAAUGGCCGUCCUAGGUUCUUAUAUUUGAAUACUUAGUCCCCAGUUGAUGGAACGGCUUCGGAAGGAUUAGAAAGUGUCCAUUUGUUGGAAGAGUUAUGUUACUAAGGACCAGGCUUUGACUUUUCAAAAGCCCAUGCCAUUUCCAGUUAGCUCACUCUGCCUCGAGCUUGUUGAUCCAAUGUAAGCUCUCAGCUAUUGCCCCAGAGCUGUGCUCCCUACCAUGAUGGUUACAGAAUCAAACCCUCUAGAACGGUGAGCCACUUCCUUUUAUAAGUUGCCUUGUCGUGAUGUUUUGUCCCAGCAACAGAAAGUUAACUAAGACACAUACGCAUUUCUAAAACAAUGAAAAGGAAUCUUCAAAAUAAGGAAGCUUAGUUCUCUGCUCAUAGAAGCAUGGCAGUGAGUAGCAUCUGAAGACAUGAUGGUCAGAAGCAGGAUUAGGCGUUUCAGACUCAGCAAGUCCCUGAUGAUGCUGAUGCCGUUCCUCCCGGGUUGGAGGUAAGGUUGGGAGGCAGGCACAGGCUAGAGUCUUGUCCAAAUCAGCCUGAAGGUACGACUUCAUAUUUUAUGCAUACUCACAGAAUUUUUUCCGUUAACAACCAACCUUCGGAGGUCUGUCCCAGGAGGAACCUGUCAGGUCCAGAGCCACCUCCAAAUUCUGGUUCCUAGUCACUUAUUCAGCUCACCUGACCACAUUCCUUUACUCUUCCGCUCGUUCGUGUUCCUCUCUCCUGACAAGUAUUCGGUGAAUAUAUCCAGUGUUUAAUGCUGGUAUAGAUGUCUAAAUAAAAAAAUGAGGAAAUAAACAGGAGCAAGAAUUAAGGUUUGCAAUCCAUGGGGGUGGGGGGAAAAACCCCACAGUGCUAUGAGGGGAAGGAAUAAGGAAGUGGGGAAUGGUUUGUGCCGAGGUAAUCCAGGAUGCUUCCUAAGGCUAGGUUGAUGUUCACAUCCACACUACUUUUCACUGUGCCCCGUGUUUGGGGGAAUACGUUGCCUAUGAUCAGGUAGCUUCUUUUGAUACUGAGUACUUAGCUUCAACAAUGAGCUUGACAGCGUCUAGAAUCACCUGAGAGAUGUGCUCAGAGGCACGGUUGGGUCAUCUUAUUACUUCAUUGAUGUGGGAACACCUAUCUUAACUGCAGGCAAGACCUGAGCUGCGUCAGUGGAGAAAGAAAGCGGAGGACCCUGGCAUGAAUUCACCCUUCUCUUCUGAUGUCUCUUCCCGAUAUGUGCUCACAGAUUUCGAGCAGCUACCUCGGCAUUCCAUGAUUUUACUUCAGCACCGUGACAAACCUUAAGCUAGAACUAUAGCUAGAGUUAAGUGUCUCUGUGUCACAUGUGAGCAUAGAUGAUUCGUUUCUACACGGCACCUUGAAUUGGGUAGCAACACCGGCAAAUGAUGUUAUUAUCUCUAUAUUAUAGACUGAAAAAACUGAA
This is a long non-coding RNA of Rattus norvegicus (Norway rat), 17335 nucleotides long. RefSeq lists it as uncharacterized. The record is from RefSeq and is a predicted model, not a curated record. Lineage: Eukaryota; Metazoa; Chordata; Mammalia; Rodentia; Muridae.